ACAGUAAAGAUUCCGUGCGAUAGAGCGUGGCCGACCACAGUGUCACAGCAUUGCACAGCAUCGCUUCCAUUGAACGGACGAUAAAAGUGAAAGCGCACACAACCCGCUCCGUUUGCUCCGCCUGAUGCCGCCGUAUAUUUGUGCAUUAGCCGCAUGCCGCAUUAGCGUUUGGACACAACACAUGGUGUGAGGUACUGAUAAACUAUACGAGAAAAAAAAUUAAUUAGACACAAUGAUCAUCCCUGUACGCUGUUUUACGUGCGGAAAAGUAAUUGGCAAUAAAUGGGAGGCAUAUCUUGGACUUCUUCAGGCAGAAUACACGGAAGGAGAUGCCUUGGAUGCGCUUGGUCUUAAAAGAUAUUGUUGUCGCAGGAUGCUGCUUGGGCAUGUAGACCUAAUUGAAAAGUUACUUAACUAUGCGCCACUAGAGAAGUAACUUAUUUAACAUUAAUAAAUCUUUACAUCUAUUUUUGGAAGUAUUUUGAUAUAUCAAAUUCACACACACACACACACACAUGAUGUAAAACAGCAUUGUUUGCUAAUAAUCUAUUUAUAUGAUAAGUACGUUUUGUUAACAAAAAGAAUUAAAACAGUUUUAUUCGCAAUCAAAUUGAUUUUUUUUUUAAUCUUACGUGAUUUUAUAAAAAAUAAAAUGCAAUUACAUUAUGGCAACAGUAAUGCUGCAUAUAAGAUAAAAAAUUAAAAAUAUAAAUUGAAGGGCAGUAUCCUUUUUACAAAAUGUAAAAUUAUUUUUAUUUCAUAACUUUAACCAAUGCCAUGUGUUACAAAAUUCUGUUAUAAAUGGUAAAAAUUUUAUUUAUAUAAAAAUUUGUCUGCUCAUAAUAAGAGUCGAAGCAAUAUAUAUAUAUUCUGUGUACACGUGUAUACUUGGUUCUCAAAAGCAUAUUUUAAUGUUUAUUUUAAAUGCAAUGUUGGAAGACUGCCUGACUAUGCUUGAGCAACGUUUCUUCUAUAAUGCAGGUGGCAUGCAUUCAUUUCACACAGAAUCUGUUAUUUUUUCUCGGAAUGCGUUUUUAAAUCCUUGAUUCAAUUAUUUAUUUUGUAAAAAUAUUUCUUUUUACUAAUAUAAUAGUAAACAUUAAAAUAUAUACCAGUUAAGAUAUAGCGUUAUAUAUAUAUUGUAAAUUUUGUCAAAUUUAGUAAAAAUACGUGUGGGCGUUUUUUAUCAAAAUAUCUUUCUGCAAGGCAAGAUUAUGUAGAUAAUUUGCUGAAAAAUUACAAUUAGAUUUCUUUAAUUACAAUUUUGUAUAAAUGCACAAUAUCAAAACUUCUGUUCUAUAUCGUGGAAUUAAAUAGUAUAUAAUAGACAUUAUUUCGAUAAUAUACAAAUUAUUU
This is an RNA transcript of Formica exsecta, 1356 nucleotides long. It is a transcript of the gene named DNA-directed RNA polymerases I, II, and III subunit RPABC5, with no coding region annotated. Lineage: Eukaryota; Metazoa; Arthropoda; Insecta; Hymenoptera; Formicidae. The record is from RefSeq and is a predicted model, not a curated record. The transcript has 4 exons.